This 499-nucleotide ribosomal RNA is filed under the name uncultured bacterium. Its description in RNAcentral is "partial 16S ribosomal RNA". It matches the Rfam family "Bacterial small subunit ribosomal RNA", at positions 28 to 507 of the family's 1533-position model. The record is from RNAcentral.
GACGAACGCUGGCGGCGUGCCUAAUACAUGCAAGUCGAGCGGACCGACCAGGAGCUUGCUCUUGUUCGGUUAGCGGCGGACGGGUGAGUAACACGUGGGUAACCUGCCCGUAAGACCGGGAUAACUCCGGGAAACCGGAGCUAAUACCGGAUAACACCGAAGACCGCAUGGUCUUUGGUUGAAAGGCGGCUUCGGCUGCCACUUACGGAUGGGCCCGCGGCGCAUUAGCUAGUUGGGGAGGUAACGGCUCACCCAGGCGACGAUGCGUAGCCGGCCGGCGGGGGUGACUGGCCGCACUGGGACGGAGACAGGGCCCAGACGCCUACGGGAGGCAGCAGGAGGGAUUCUUCCGGAAGGGGCGAAAGUCUGACGGAGCGAGGCGGCGUGAGCGAAGAAGGUCGUCGGAUCGGAAAGCUCUGUUGUUAGGGAAGAAGAAGCGUCGUUCGAACAGGGAGGCGGGGUGACGGUACCUAACGAGAAAGCCCCGGCUAACUACGUG